This 624-nucleotide small RNA is filed under the name Pan troglodytes (chimpanzee). RNAcentral's name for it is "processed transcript". The record is from RNAcentral. Lineage: Eukaryota; Metazoa; Chordata; Mammalia; Primates; Hominidae.
AGGUUGGCGAUUUGAAGGAGCUGCAGACACUAGACAUUUCUACCAAUCGUUUGCUAACUUUACCCGAGAGGCUUCACAUGUGCCUUUCUCUGCAGUACCUCACUGUGGACCGAAAUCGUCUAUGGUAUGUGCCGCGCCAUCUCUGCCAGCUGCCCAGCCUCAAUGAGCUCUCCAUGGCUGGAAACCGUCUUGCAUUUUUGCCACUUGAUUUAGGUCGAUCUCGAGAACUACAAUAUGUAUAUGUGGAUAACAACAUUCACCUGAAAGGCUUGCCAUCUUAUCUGUACAAUAAAGUCAUCGGGUGCAGUGGGUCAACCCUAUUCACAGUAGGAGGUGACUACAUGGAGAGUGACCACUAGGAGCGAGGACCAUUGGGGGCCCACUUGGAGACUGGCUGCCACAGCUUCAUGGCAUCUAUACUAUUUGCUAGCCUCAUGGAAAAGAAUGAUCUUUAUUUUUUCUGGGUUUUUCUUGUUAUUACAGGAGUAAAUGUCCUCAGUCUUCUACAUUGUAGCCAGAAAGAGAGGUUCAUCCCAUGUUAGAAUUUUAGAGAAUGGUAAUUGGCACAUAUACUUACUGAGGAGAACUUAAUGGUAAAAGUAAUCCUCUACAGGAUGUUUUCUC